GGGGUUGUGGCUCAGUGGUAGAGCGCUCGCCUAGCAUGCGCGAGGCACUAGCUUCAAUCCUCAGCACCA
This 69-nucleotide transfer RNA is filed under the name Marmota monax (woodchuck). It matches the Rfam family "tRNA". From Rfam's summary of the family: Transfer RNA (tRNA) molecules are approximately 80 nucleotides in length. Lineage: Eukaryota; Metazoa; Chordata; Mammalia; Rodentia; Sciuridae. The record is from Rfam by way of RNAcentral.